AGUGAACGCUGGCGGUAGGCCUAACACAUGCCAGUCGAACGGCAGCACAGUAAGAGCUUGCUCUUACGGGUGGCGAGUGGCGGACGGGUGAGGAAUACAUCGGAAUCUACUUUUUCGUGGGGGAUAACGUAGGGAAACUUACGCUAAUACCGCAUACGACCUACGGGUGAAAGCAGGGGAUCUUCGGACCUUGCGCGAUUGAAUGAGCCGAUGUCGGAUCAGCUAGUUGGCGGGGUAAAGGCCCACCAAGGCGACGAUCCGUAGCUGGUCUGAGAGGAUGAUCAGCCACACUGGAACUGAGACACGGUCCAGACUCCUACGGGAGGCAGCAGUGGGGAAUAUUGGACAAUGGGCGCAAGCCUGAUCCAGCCAUACCGCGUGGGUGAAGAAGGCCUUCGGGUUGUAAAGCCCUUUUGUUGGGAAAGAAAAGCAGCAGGUUAAUACCCCGCUGUUCUGACGGUACCCAAAGAAUAAGCACCGGCUAACUUCGUG
This 492-nucleotide ribosomal RNA is filed under the name uncultured bacterium. RNAcentral describes it as "partial 16S ribosomal RNA". It matches the Rfam family "Bacterial small subunit ribosomal RNA", at positions 29 to 507 of the family's 1533-position model. The record is from RNAcentral.